CUUGGUCUGGCUGCGAUUAAGCGCUGCAGAAAGAGGCAGGCUUCAAGGCUGACCUGGCUGCGAUCGGGGGACGCAACGACAAAGUUCUUCAUGGCCAAAAUCAACUCAAGAAGGCGCAAAAAUUUUAUCCAUGCCCUGAAGAUCAACGGCUCCAUCACCACUGCACAUGAAGAAAAAGUUGAAGCCAUCCACGACCAUUUUAGCGACAUCCUCGGAGCCACCCAACACCGCCCUACCUCGAUCAACUGGAGCCAGCUACAGGUUCCACAAGUUUAGGGAGGAGGUCUUGACAACCCUUUCACAGAAGAUGAAGUU
RNAcentral lists this ribosomal RNA (315 nucleotides) under Triticum aestivum (bread wheat). RNAcentral's name for it is "partial small subunit ribosomal RNA". The record is from RNAcentral. Lineage: Eukaryota; Viridiplantae; Streptophyta; Magnoliopsida; Poales; Poaceae.